RNAcentral lists this ribosomal RNA (1320 nucleotides) under Exophiala lecanii-corni. RNAcentral's name for it is "LSU rRNA". It matches the Rfam family "Eukaryotic large subunit ribosomal RNA", at positions 74 to 1409 of the family's 3401-position model. The record is from RNAcentral. Lineage: Eukaryota; Fungi; Ascomycota; Eurotiomycetes; Chaetothyriales; Herpotrichiellaceae.
AUUGCCUCAGUAACGGCGAGUGAAGCGGCAACAGCUCAAAUUUGAAAUCUGGCCUCUUUGGGGUCCGAGUUGUAAUUUGUAGAGGAUGUUUCGGGUACCGCUCCGGUUUAAAUUUCUUGGAACAGAAUGUCAUAGAGGGUGAGAAUCCCGUCUUGGACCGGCGGUAGGGCCCAUGUGAAACUCCUUCGACGAGUCGAGUUGUUUGGGAAUGCAGCUCAAAAUGGGUGGUAAAUUUCAUCUAAAGCUAAAUAUUGGCCAGAGACCGAUAGCGCACAAGUAGAGUGAUCGAAAGAUGAAAAGCACUUUGAAAAGAGAGUUAAACAGUAUGUGAAAUUGUUGAAAGGGAAGCGCUUACAACCAGACUUGAGCGCGACGGUUCCCCCUUCCUUUUGGUUGGGCUACUCCGUCGUGUCCAGGCCAACAUCGGUUUUGGGGGUCGGUUAAAGGCGCCGGGAAUGUAUCUACCCUUCGGGCGUAGACUUAUAGCCCGGCGUGUCAUGCGACCUCCCGGGACCGAGGAACGCGCUUCGGCUCGGAUGUUGGCGUAAUGGUUGUCAGCGACCCGUCUUGAAACACGGACCAAGGAGUCUAACAUCUAUGCGAGUGUUUGGGUGUCAAACCCGGAACGCGAAAUGAAAGUGAACGGAGGUAGGAAGCCUUGAGGCUGCACUAUCGACCGAUCCUGAUGUCUUCGGAUGGAUUUGAGUAAGAGCAUAGCUGUUGGGACCCGAAAGAUGGUGAACUAUGCCUGAAUAGGGUGAAGCCAGAGGAAACUCUGGUGGAGGCUCGCAGCGGUUCUGACGUGCAAAUCGAUCGUCAAAUUUGGGUAUAGGGGCGAAAGACUAAUCGAACCAUCUGGUAGCUGGUUCCUGCCGAAGUUUCCCUCAGGAUAGCAGUAACGUUUUCAGUUUUAUGAGGUAAAGCGAAUGAUUAGAGGCCUUGGGGUUGUAACAACCUUAACCUAUUCUCAAACUUUAAAUAUGUAAGAAGUCCUUGUUACUUAAUUGAACGUGGACAUUUGAAUGUAUCGUUACUAGUGGGCCAUUUUUGGUAAGCAGAACUGGCGAUGCGGGAUGAACCGAACGUGAGGUUAAGGUGCCGGAAUGUACGCUCAUCAGACACCACAAAAGGUGUCAAUGCAUCCAGACAGCCGGACGGUGGCCAUGGAAGUCGGAAUCCGCUUAGGAGUGUGUAACAACUCACCGGCCGAAUGCAUUGGCCCUGAAAAUGGAUGGCGCUUAAGCGUGCUACCUAUACCUCGCCGUCAGGGUUGACAUGAUGCCCUGACGAGUAGGCAGGCGUGGAGGUCCGUGACGAAGC